RNAcentral lists this ribosomal RNA (733 nucleotides) under Tintinnidium sp. 3 LS-2012. Its description in RNAcentral is "LSU rRNA". It matches the Rfam family "Eukaryotic large subunit ribosomal RNA", at positions 70 to 834 of the family's 3401-position model. Lineage: Eukaryota; Ciliophora; Spirotrichea; Tintinnida; Tintinnidiidae. The record is from RNAcentral.
AAGGAUUCCCUCAGUACGGGCGACGGAAGCGGGAAAAGCCCACACUGGUAAUCUCCAGGCGCAAGCUUGGCGAAUUGUAAUCUGAAGGCGGACAGCCUAACUAGGAGCGACGCAGAAGUGUUCUCGAGCGAACCGCCAAAGAGGGUGAAAGCCCCGUCUGUGGUGUCACUCCUAACCUGGCUUUCCAUCAAAGAGUCGUGUACUUUGAUACUAGUGCACAAAGCGGGAGAUAGACUUCUUCUAAGGCUAAAUAUAUGUAGGAAACCGAUAGCGAACAAGUACUGUGAAGGAAAGAUGAAAAGCACUUUGAAAAGAGAGUUAAAAGACUUGAAAUCGUUGAGGCGGAAGCGGUAGAAAAGUAUUCUAUCUGACGUCCUGCGAACAGUGCCAAAGCUUCGGCGGAAGCGCUGGGGUUGGACGGAAGGAUGAGACAAGAUGGGGUCGCGCGGUGCCAAAAUGGUAGGGCAGUAGGAUGCUUGCAUCAGCUGACUUAUUUCCGGUGUCGCGUGGCUCGAGGGGCUUUGUGCGAUCUUGUCAAAAUGGUUUUUACCGACUCGUCUUGAAACACGAACCAAGGAGUCUAAGACUAACGCGAGUGUGGUGGUGGAAAAACCAACACGCGAAAUGAAAGUGAAUGAUGCCAAGGCAACAGCAACAUCGACCGACCAUGACCCACUGGGGARAGGUUUGAGUGAGAGCGUUAUUCUUAGGACCCGAAAGAUGGUGAAACUAU